Molecule: ribosomal RNA, 309 nt
Filed under: uncultured Methanoculleus sp.
Lineage: Archaea; Methanobacteriati; Methanobacteriota; Methanomicrobia; Methanomicrobiales; Methanomicrobiaceae
Description: bacterial SSU rRNA
Rfam family: Archaeal small subunit ribosomal RNA
Source: RNAcentral
UGGGUUGUUAAGUCUCUUGGGAAAUCUGACGGCUCAACCGUCAGGCGUCUAAGGGAUACUGGCAAUCUUGGAACCGGGAGAGGUGAGGGGUACUUCGGGGGUAGGAGUGAAAUCCUGUAAUCCUCGAGGGACCACCUGUGGCGAAGGCGCCUCACCAGAACGGCUUCGACAGUGAGGGACGAAAGCUGGGGGAGCAAACCGGAUUAGAUACCCGGGUAGUCCCAGCCGUAAACGAUGCGCGUUAGGUGUAUCGGUGACCACGAGUCACCGAGGUGCCGAAGGGAAACCGUGAAACGUGCCGCCUGGGAA